RNAcentral lists this ribosomal RNA (248 nucleotides) under uncultured Oscillospiraceae bacterium. RNAcentral's name for it is "partial 16S ribosomal RNA". It matches the Rfam family "Bacterial small subunit ribosomal RNA", at positions 524 to 771 of the family's 1533-position model. The record is from RNAcentral. Lineage: Bacteria; Bacillati; Bacillota; Clostridia; Eubacteriales; Oscillospiraceae.
UACGUAGGUGGCAAGCGUUAUCCGGAUUUAUUGGGUGUAAAGGGCGUGUAGGCGGGAGAGCGAGUCAGACGUGAAAUUCCAGGGCUCAACCCAUAGCCUGCAUUUGAAACUGUAUUUCUUGAGUGCUGGAGAGGCAAUCGGAAUUCCGUGUGUAGCGGUGAAAUGCGUAGAUAUACGGAGGAACACCAGUGGCGAAGGCGGCCUGCUGGACAAUAACUGACGCUGAGGCGCGAAAGCGUGGGGAGCAA